UCACGAUGACAGGAGCCAUGUGCGUAACUAUAAGGCUACCUCGUGUUCGUACGUAAUACGCUCGGUUGUUACCUUCGGUAGUUUGCGUCCCGGUGUUAGGGUACGCGAAUUUCGGUAGUUUCUUUGCGAGAUGCUACUGAUUUCCCAGGCAUAUGGAAAAGUUAUAGAGUUUAUUGUUUAUAAAAAAAUCCCCCCAGACAGAGUGUUUCGCAAAAUACACAGUGCUCAUUUGGAAAUAUUCAAAUAUCAAAAACAAUGCCAACAACAGCAAAAGUGAAAAUCAAAAUAAUUAAGUUUGCUAUGAAUUUUAAAUGAAAUCUUAGUCUACGGCUGAAUAUCCUAAUUGAUCAACAAACAAUACUGCAACAGUUGUACAGUAGAAAGAAUGUAACAAGUAGAAUGCCGUAAAACGCAAAAUGAAACAAAGUUUCUUUACCGAUGCUGCAAUGGACCACCCCGUGUAGAGCAUUUCUUGCAAAAUAGAAACAACGGCAGACAAACGCGGUACACUAAAUUCACCAUCUUGUUGCUCAAUUUUUCUCGCUACUAUGUCGAUCAUUUUGCACGGUUGAGUAUUUCUUGCCGCAUUGUUUCAGUGCUUUGUGAAAAAUAUCUACGAAACUUUUCUUCAACCACUCAUUGUUUGGAAAAGAUACAAAAAAAGAAAACAGUGAGACAGUAUCAAUUCUAACUAAAUGCAACAAGAAAAAGUGUAAAACAAAAAAAAAACCGUACAAAAUGGAAGACCAAAGUGAAGAAAAAAAAAAUCGCACACAAACAAUGUCAAACUUUUGCGACGAAAUUUGUGAACACAACUUAAAGUGAAGCUUUUACUCUAACUUAAACUGCAUUGCACCUGCGUUUCUCUACACUAUAUGUAUGGCUUUAAGGCAUUGCAAAAUACAGAAAACCUCAAAUUCGGUCAUCUGUGUUCAAAACUAAAGUUUAUGUUGUGUGAAGCGAACGAAUUUCAUAAAAAUAUUUUAACGAUUAAAAAAAAAUAAACAAAACAAUAGACAUACAAGAUCAUAAUUACGAUUACAAUCAACAACGAUGGUCUAUGUGUGUGCUAUUAUGUUCUUAUUAACAUGGUGAUAAUAAAAGUGCUGUUCGAAAGUCUACUGGUGCGUAUCUAAUUAUCUAAUCCAAUUCGAAAGGAAAUGCCCGGAUAAUACGUUUCACUCAUCCUUCGACACUCAAAUCAACGAAGUGGAAUUUCCUGCGACACCUGCCUAAAUCAUGCCAUUUUCUCGGUACACUUCAUACAAUACGUCAUUGACGCCGAAAGUAUCGGAUGUCAACCUGCAGCAGCAUAAGCCAUUUGCAUGGCAGUAGGGCACCCGAGAAAAGACAAUUGAUACGUGAUUGAAAGGCUAAGUGAUAAGAGUUUGAUUUUUAAUUGAAAUUCCAACACUCGUCAAUCGAACGACAACUGCCAUUUGAUGAGCAAAGUGAAAAGCAACACGAUCCAGUGAAAGAACUGACGUAUAGGCUCGAUGCAACAGUGACGACAUCGGUGUACGAAGAGUAGAAGGGAAAACGGGAGCGCCACACGGAAGAAGCGGAGAAUGGGUGCCUAUAGCUUUUCUGUGCACCAGUCAAACGGCUUCAAAUCGAUGUGCUAUAGCAUUGCCUACGAAUAUAAUUGUGUGUCAGUGCCGGUUGUUGACGAAUGGAAGAGAAGCACGAAACAUUAGCAAAAACCCAAGAACGAAAGAGAGCAAUAAUAUCCAGAUUGCACCGUGCAAGGAAUAACAACAAAAAAAAACGCUCCACACAAUAGGAUAGAUGUUCUUUAGACUCGACAGCACAUGGUGCUAUAUCAAGGCAGGUGGCUGACGUUUGAGGUGUUGCUGCUGUUGUUUGCCAGGACGGGAUUUUGACGCGUUCGGAAAUGGGUUGAACACCAGCUGAAAUCAACGUUGGUAACCAGCAAAAAAUCUGUCUUGUCCCAAUAUCGGGAAUGUUGUAAAUCGAUGAUUCGAUGAUGAAGUUUUUUUUAGUGAACGUAUUGCUGGCACAACAUUAUUCAUGUCUAUGAGGGCAUGAACCGCAAGUACAUUGUCUUCGUAUUAAACCACACGAAAAGCUUUAAAAAUUCAAAUGAGUUAUAAGAAUACAAAAAGGAAUAUUGCAGAGUAAGCUCCUGGAACUCUUUUCCAACACAGCUGAUCAAAGAUACUUUUUGGAACAGUUUUACGACCGCAGUUAAUCAUCUUGUGUGCGCGACCGUGUACGGAACCAUCCCAACACAGGGGGUUCUAUUAUUUCUGCAUAGUCUUCCAGUGUGAGUCUACAGGACAGCAAAACACAACCACAACCACUUCGCUGACAACGAGCAGCAACAGCAGCAGCAACAGAAGCCAGAAGCGUUGGCAUCGCUUCACUUCGGUGAAUCGGUGUUUCUAUGCCAUCUAGC
This is a long non-coding RNA of Anopheles funestus (African malaria mosquito), 2419 nucleotides long. RefSeq lists it as uncharacterized. The record is from RefSeq and is a predicted model, not a curated record. NCBI's taxonomy places the organism in Eukaryota, Metazoa, Arthropoda, Insecta, Diptera, Culicidae. The transcript is spliced from 3 exons.